UGUUCCUCAGUUGUUCUUUUCAAGUUACCUAUGGAAACAUUGCAAAGAUAAGACAAAACUGUAUGACAUUGUACAGGACCAAGCAACAAGAUCUAUAUUUCAUUAUUGUCAAAGCUAAAAAAGAACUUAGAUUUAUUCAAAACCCUCAGCUCUUUCCCUUAGUGGAAUCAAUUUCUUUUAAACCCAUCACUGAAGAAUCAAGGGAAAAUCAGAAAUGCCUAAGGCAACAGUCUCAAGAGAAACUACCACCUCCAGGUAAAU
Molecule: long non-coding RNA, 261 nt
Filed under: Monodelphis domestica (gray short-tailed opossum)
Lineage: Eukaryota; Metazoa; Chordata; Mammalia; Didelphimorphia; Didelphidae
Description: lncRNA (ENSMODG00000045797.1)
Source: RNAcentral